CGACACCGCAGAUGUGAGCGCGCAUCUACUGUCUGCUUCUCUCCAUCAGUUUUCCCGCUCACUGAAUAAUGGUCCUUGUGUGACCUCUUCAUCAAUACCAAUACACAAACAGCAGAAAGGUAGUGUGGGGAAGUGAAUGUCAGACUGCAGGGUGCAUUCACCAGAAGCCUACAGUUCCAGUUCCUUUUCUGUAAAUGUUUUGGCACCAAAAUAUCCCUAAUCCAUAAUAGCUCUGCCAUCAUUCUAGGCUAGAGAACAAAAGAGAAGUGCUCCAUAGUGUAACAACUUCCAAGCAGGUGAGCGAUUCUGUAUUAAGGCUGCUUACCAGAAAUGGUUGUGUAACCUCAUACACAACAAUGGUACUUGUAUGUAUACUUGGGUCCAAUCUGCAGCCUUCCUGCUAAGGGUAUAAACAGGAGCACAAACAAACUUUUUUUUCACAUUUUUGAAAAAUGUAUGGUGAUGGGACCAAUAGACACCAGGGAAUAGUGACAUUUAAUGUUUAAAUGCUGUGAUCUGUAUAGAUCAUGGUAUUUAACCAGUUAAAUGACAGACAUUGGAGCCAGCUCCGAUGUCCAUCACAGCGGCGAGCAUCUCUCUGUUAUGAUGCGGACCCAACCCUUGGGCACGUGCCAUGUCCGCCCUUUCCAGACCCAUGACGUACAUGUAGGUCAUGGGUCGGGAAAGAGUUAAAGUAGUAUGCAUCAACAGCUGUACCAUUUCAAGCCUCCUUAGCACAUUUUGUCAUACUGGAUAGGAAGAAAACCAUGUACCACUAUUUAUCAUACCAAAACGACAGGUGCCACAAUGGAUCCUCAUCUACUCUAUUAUAAGUCGACGGAGUCUGUCAGGUGUUCCUGGCAUCCAGUAUGGAACAGAGCUGACAUUAGGAAUUGAUGACUAAGGUGGGAACUUAGCCUAAGAAGU
Long non-coding RNA from Hyla sarda, 927 nucleotides. RefSeq lists it as uncharacterized. NCBI's taxonomy places the organism in Eukaryota, Metazoa, Chordata, Amphibia, Anura, Hylidae. The transcript has 3 exons. The record is from RefSeq and is a predicted model, not a curated record.